GAGGACGCGUCAAACUCAACAUAUAUUCCUAACCUCCUUUGCAAACCCAUUUUGGUGCGGGGAUGGCGGUGCUACAGGCACAUAUACUGCGCAUCCAAAGCUUCUUAAAUGGGAUGUAUUUGGUUCAUGACCCAAAACCAAUUGCAAUGGGGAAUAUUUGUGUCCAUUCGUCAGUCAGAGACAAACUAGCAUUGCUGCAUGCAACAUGGCGUGACCCCAAACCGAAGU
Molecule: long non-coding RNA, 228 nt
Filed under: Nicotiana benthamiana
Lineage: Eukaryota; Viridiplantae; Streptophyta; Magnoliopsida; Solanales; Solanaceae
Description: long non-coding RNA (NBEN_LNC000841)
Source: RNAcentral